UACGUAGGGGGCAAGCGUUAUCCGGAUUUACUGGGUGUAAAGGGAGCGUAGACGGCAGCGCAAGUCUGGAGUGAAAUGCCGGGGCCCAACCCCGGAACUGCUCUGGAAACUGUGAAGCUGGAGUGCAGGAGAGGUAAGCGGAAUUCCUGGUGUAGCGGUGAAAUGCUUAGAGAUCAUACAGAACACCGAUUGCGAAGGCAGCUUACCAAGCUACUUCUGACGUUGAGGCACGAAAGCGUGGGGAGCAAACAGG
RNAcentral lists this ribosomal RNA (253 nucleotides) under uncultured Eubacteriales bacterium. Its description in RNAcentral is "uncultured Clostridiales bacterium partial 16S ribosomal RNA". It matches the Rfam family "Bacterial small subunit ribosomal RNA", at positions 524 to 776 of the family's 1533-position model. Lineage: Bacteria; Bacillati; Bacillota; Clostridia; Eubacteriales. The record is from RNAcentral.